CCCUGGCCCCCAACCCCAGCUGUUUUUAAAUUUUUUAUUGAGGCAGUGUCUUACUAAGAUGCCCAGGCUGGGGUAAUAGUGAUUCCCCUGCCUAAGCUCCCUAGAGUACUGGGAUUAUAGGCAUCCACCACUUCUGACUAGCAUCCCAUUUUAUAACUGAGAAAACAUCCAGAAGCACAAACUAAAGAUGCCCAAAAUUCUAGAACGUGAAGAUCUAUCCCACCCAAAGGCCCACUAGUAUUUUAUUACAUAACUUGCUUCUUUGAAAUAGCCAUAAAUAGGACAAGGUGAGUGGUGGCCAAUGCUUGUAAUCUCAGCUACUCAGGAGGUUGAAGUAUGAGGACUGCAAGUGAGGCCAACCUGGGCAAUUUACCAAGACCCUGUCUCAAAUAGUAAAAAGGGCAGAGGAUGUAGUUCAGUGAUGAACGUUUGCCUAGCAUGCAUGUGGUUUUGGGUUUGAUCCCUAGUAAUAAAGGACAAAACAAAAAAGGUACAGGUUGAAUACCCAUAAUCUAAAAAUCUGAAAUUUUCCAAAAUCAGAAACUUUUUUAAGGCAGGUGCAGUCCAGGCUGCCCUCAAAACUCACAAUCCUCCUGUCUUAGCCUCCCCAGAGCUGAAAUUACAGGCAUAUACCUCCGAGGCCUGCCCUAAAUCAAAACAUUUUCAGUCUGGGAAUUUAGCUCAGUGGCACCUCACCUGCCUUACAAGUCCAAAGUCCUGAGUUCAAUCUCUGGUAUCAAAAAAAAUUUUUUUUUUGAGUAUGAAGAGUUUUGGACUUCAGAGGACUUUGGAUUUAGGAUUUUUGGAUUAGGGAUGUUCUAUGCAAAUAUUCCAAAAUCCAAAAUAUUUCUGUUCCUAAGCACUUUGGAUAAAGGAUUCUUGGCCUGUAAUAGGAACAGUAUAGUACAGAUGCUUUCUUUUUUUUUUUUUUUGAGAUGCUUUCUUAAAUGACCUUCGUGUUACCCACUGCAUCCUUUCUUGACCCAAUGGGUGAUAGCCACAGCAAGCAGACAGCUAGGCUAGGGUACCUUCUCCCAUCACAUGAAGUAAACGCUGUCAUGAGCUAGAUUUUAGGCUGGGUUGUGGUUCAGGGGUAGAGCACUUGCCUAGCAUGAAUAAGGCCUGAGUUUGCACCUUCACACCAUGAAAUAUAUAUAUAUAUUUUUUUUUAAUUAAAAAUUUUUAUGAAGUUAUAUUUAUCCUAUACUCUACAUGGCACUAUAAUUAUAUAACUCAAAUACUACGCCAGCCAGGGAAAUCACGUAUAAAAGUGACAACUGUCUGAAAAGCUAAAAUGAGCAAAGAAAGUGAGGUUCAUGUAGCCCCUCAGUUUAAUAUGAGGGAGGCAACGAUACACUGGGACAAAGAUCAUAAAAAUCUAGGAUUCUGCAUACACACUGCUUGGUCAGGGCAAGCUCUGCUUUAAAAAAGAAACCAGUGGGCCAGGGAUUUAGCUCAGUGGUUCUGCCACGUGCCUCAUAAGUGCAAGGUCCCAAGUUCUAGCCCCAGUACUGAAAAAAAAAGAAACUAGAAAUCUAAGCUAUGCAUUAUGAGUGAAGUUUUUUCUUGCAGUGCUAGGGAUGGAGCCCAGGGUUCUGGCCCAAGCUGGCAAGCACUCACCAUUUAGCUGCACCCUAGUGCCACGUUCUUUUUUUUGAGACAGGGUCUCACUUUGUAGUUCAGGCUGGCCCUGAACUCAUUAUGUAGCUCAGGCUAGCCUCGAAUUUGAGGCAAUCCUCCUGCCUCUGCCUCCCAAGUGUUGGGAUUACAGGCAUGAGCCACCACACCCGGCCACAUGUUCAUUUUUGGAUGCUUUCUCCAUUAAACCUUUUCUUGGCUCUCAGUUUCCUGCUGGCCUUAGCUCUGUAUGCUGGCUCAGAAUGUAUGUGCCGUGAAACCCCAGGACUGGGAGCCUGGGCAGUCAGAACUCUCCUCUGCAGGCAAGUUCCCAGGCCCCAGGCUUUAGCUAUGUGCUCCUGUGUUCCUUGCCAGACCAUUUUCUCACCUUGGUGCCUUUGCACCUGCUCCCUGACUGAAGCGCUGAGCCCCACCCAGACCACUGUAGUGUUUCCUGUUUGCUUUGCUUAGCCAUUGAUGACUCCUAUGCAUCUGUACUAUUGUGUGUGCUCGUCACCUUUCAUGCUCCCAAAACCCACAGAACUGUGUCCCAUCUCCCUCCACACUCCUAGCAUCUGCUCCUAUACCAUGUGCUGAAUGACUGUUCUACCCACUCCUCUCCCACCCUGACUUCACAAAAAAUGCAAGUUCAUCACCCUGUGCCUCAUGUGUCAGGACAGGAAAGUACCUCUAAAGAGACAGAUAUGCUAUACCCAAGAUAUACCAACUAGCUGGAAAAACACAUGAAUAGGCCAGGGAUUUAGCUCAGUGGUGCCGCCAACUGCCUCCCAAGCGCAAGGUCCCAAGUUCAAUCCCCAGUACUAAAAAAAAAAAAGAAAGAAAAACACAUGAAUAAAGCAUGGCGCCCUAAGCAUUUUUACAAACAGAUAUUUGGAGUGGGACAAAAAUUGCUGAGGAGCUUCUACCUCCAAACCUGCAAUAGCUCUACUUUUUCAAAGGUGAGUAAGACGCGGAGGAGACUAAUUCAGAGUUGGGCACUGCUGCAUUUCAGAUAUUUCUAACAUCUGGAUGCACAUGGAGAACACAGAGUGGAAGCUUUUGAGAGAAUAGCUGAAGCCCAGUAUGGUGCCACACUAACACCAUCCCAGCUAUUUGGAAGGCUGAGGCAGUUGGAUCCUAAGUUUGAGGCCAGUCUGGGCCACUUAGUGAGACCCUGUCUCAAAAUAAAAGUGAAAAGGGAUGAAGAUACAGCUCAGUGGUGGAGUGCUUGCCUGGCAUGUGGCAAGGCCCUGGGGCUCCAUCCCCAGUACGUGUACACACACACACACACGCACGCACGCACGCACGCACACACACACACACACACGAAGAGAAACAGCCAGGAGCUGUACAAUGAGAAUGGCAAGGAAUGGAGCUAGGAGGACCAGGACAAGAAAAGGUGCCCUUGGGCUUCCCUGAGACCUCCAGAACUGCCUCCCCUCCCUGCAGCCUAAACCCAGGGCUUGCUCACUUGGGAUGGCCCCUCUUCCCCAUCACUCCCUCCCCCACACCCUCCCCUGGCCCACCAUGACCAAGUGCUUUCUCUUGUCCCACACUCAGGAACUUGAGUGUCAUUGGAGGACAGUGGCCCUGGGGACACAGAUUCCUAGUCUACAGUCCUCCAGGGAAUCCUCAGGGCCUUCUGUUAUCCUCCCUGUGCUCAGGUCACUGCCCUCUCUCACUUCUCCCAUCAGCCCUGACAAAGCUUCAAAUUCUCCAUCUCUGACUCCAAUUUGCCUCCCCUCACCUGAGCAGACACAGAAGCAGCCAGGACUGGGACACCUUCCACUUGCCCAUGGGCAUCCACAACCUCCAGCUCAGCCAAAGAGCUGCUGGCCUUCUGGUCCCCUCUCUUGUCCCCCUUUUGUUUUUACCUUGUCUCCUUGGGCUGGUUCUUUCCCCUUGAUGUAUGCUAUUUCUUUCCUCCCAUUCUCUCUCCUUCUCUAGUUUUUCUGGAGUGCUGGGGAUGGAACCCAGGGAGUUGCAUGUGCUAGGCCUGAGGAGGGGGACUGCUGUAUUCUGCUCAGCUGUGCUUUCCAGUACCCCAAAGCCUUCAGAAAUGUUUGCCAAAUAUCUAAAUGAAUGGACAGCGGAGCUGGUUCUAACACUUCUGCUGGCACACCUGCUUGCACCUGCAAGUUUCUCUUGCUGUCUCAACCUCCCCAGGAGUUUAGGACCCUGAAAUUAAAAGCAAUGAUAUCACCAGGA
Long non-coding RNA from Heterocephalus glaber (naked mole-rat), 3825 nucleotides. RefSeq lists it as uncharacterized. NCBI's taxonomy places the organism in Eukaryota, Metazoa, Chordata, Mammalia, Rodentia, Bathyergidae. The record is from RefSeq and is a predicted model, not a curated record.